RNAcentral lists this long non-coding RNA (851 nucleotides) under Homo sapiens (human). Its description in RNAcentral is "HSALNT0330213". Lineage: Eukaryota; Metazoa; Chordata; Mammalia; Primates; Hominidae. The record is from RNAcentral.
CAGCGGAAGGACGUAAGUUUUCACGCAUAGUGGACAGAGGACUUAGACCGAAUGAGAUGUUGGUUGGCCUCAUCUCCCCAAGCUGUCUAGAAGCUGCUUAAGGGCAGGCCCCACAACUGGUUGGUUCAUCUCUAUGUCCGCAGUGCAAAACGUCGCAUCUCUUAAGGCAAUUAGUGUCUGUCCGAAUUCUUGGGGAAGCUGAGGAAACCAGGGCUGUGACUGUAAUAUUCUGCUGUACCUAUGAUCUGUGCCCAUGAUGCUCUGCUGUAUCCAUGAUGCUGUGCCCAUGAUGCCAUGUCAUGCUCUCUGUACCUUGCCAUGCCUGUGACACUAUGCCCUCUCCCUGGGAUUCUGCAGUCUUCCUGGCUGCUCUAGAAGCCAGGGAGAUUCCACCCCAUGUAAAAUGCUCCUGGGGUGGCCUGCUGACCUGGAUUCUCCUCUCAACAUCUUGAGCCCAACCACCUCUGCUGUCAAACUACACAUGGCCCAGGUGACUUCUCUCACAAAUGGGAGAGGGAAUCAGAGCAUUUCAUAGUCAGAGCAGAGGCCCUGGGGAGAUGCCCAUCUGCAGCAGACUUGGGACAACUGAUCCAAUUCAAGUCCAUCAUUGUGCAGAGUGGGAUUGUGAGCCUCAGAGUGGAGAGAAGAUUCAUCCAACUGUGGGUUCGGUGCCAGCCAGAGUGGGACUCCACCCUGACUCCCAGUUCAGAGCUCAUUUUGGUGGGGGGUCCUGAAGUUCUACCAUCAUAGUUACCCCUUGCUUGGGUCUCCAAAAUGUCCCUGUUCCAAUGUAUAUCUGUUACUUAAAUAACACAUUUGCAACAUAGCUAUCAGAGGGGUUGGUUUUUAUU